CCUACGGGAGGCAGCAGUGAGGAAUAUUGGUCAAUGGACGAGAGUCUGAACCAGCCAAGUAGCGUGAAGGAUGACUGCCCUAUGGGUUGUAAACUUCUUUUAUAUGGGAAUAAAAUGUGGCACGUGUGGGUUUUUGUAUGUACCAUAUGAAUAAGGAUCGGCUAACUCCGUGCCAGCAGCCGCGGUAAUACGGAGGAUCCGAGCGUUAUCCGGAUUUAUUGGGUUUAAAGGGAGCGUAGGUGGAUUGUUAAGUCAGGUGUGAAAGUUUGCGGCUCAACCGUGAAAUUGCAGUUGAAACUGGCAGUCUUGAGUACAGUAGAGGUGGGCGGAAUUCGUGGUGUAGCGGUGAAAUGCUUAGAUAUCGCGAAGAACUCCGAUUGCGAAGGCAGCUCACUGGACUCCAACUGACACUGAGGCUCGAAAGUGUGGGUAUCAAACAGGAUUAGAUACCCCAGUAGUC
Molecule: ribosomal RNA, 460 nt
Filed under: uncultured bacterium
Lineage: Bacteria
Description: partial 16S ribosomal RNA
Rfam family: Bacterial small subunit ribosomal RNA
Source: RNAcentral